Molecule: non-coding RNA, 72 nt
Organism: Phrynosoma platyrhinos (Desert horned lizard)
Lineage: Eukaryota; Metazoa; Chordata; Lepidosauria; Squamata; Phrynosomatidae
Source: the annotation of a GenBank genome assembly
GGCAGUGUGGUGUAGUGGUUUGAGUGUUGGACUAUGACUCUGGAGACCAGGGUCCGAUUCCCCACUUGGCCA